AUGGUGUCGUGGAGCGACGAGACCAGUGAGGAUUCAGUCAUGAACAUCUCCUCCUCCUGCGAUGGCAUCAUCAAGCUUCCAGCUACGAUGCACGAUCCGAAUUUCAAUGGCACUGACGCAGAUGUGAAUGUUUUGUGCGAACACGACUCAAUGGAGAAGGCAUUGGCCAAGUUAUGGGAUAUGCAUGAGGAGAUUAAGUCAGCUAGGACCAAUGACAAUCUGGAGAGUUCCUUUGCAAUUCACAACCUGACAGAAGAGAAGAAGAAACUACAGGAGAAUUAUGACAGAUUGUAUGCUGAUGUCAAUGCUCUCUUGGAUGCCCAGCAGCAGAGGAGUCUGGAGUUGAACAAUCAAAAGGAGCAGAAGGAAUGUCUUGAUGUGAAGAUUGCAGAGCUAGAAACUGUAGUGGGCAACUUGAAGGCAGAGCUGGCAAAGAAAGAGGAGGAGAAGAAGAAAGUAGGGAGGACUAUGACAGUUUGUAUGCUGAUGUGA
This 492-nucleotide ribosomal RNA is filed under the name Triticum aestivum (bread wheat). RNAcentral describes it as "partial small subunit ribosomal RNA". The record is from RNAcentral. Lineage: Eukaryota; Viridiplantae; Streptophyta; Magnoliopsida; Poales; Poaceae.